GAUUUCUGGCUUGAAACACUUGGCCGGCCACGGUUUCGUGUGUUAGUGCCUUGUGUUCUGGCCAUCCUUCCAAUCGCCAUUCACCUUUCUUCAUUGAUUGGUGAGUGGUAUUGGAUCUUUUACUUUGAAAAAAUUAGAGUGUUUCAAGCAGGCAUUAUUGCUAUGAAUACAUUAGCAUGGAAUAAUAAUUUAGGACUUCGGUUCUAUUUUGUUGGUGUUCUAGAACUGAAGUAAUGAUUGAUAGGGAUAGUUGGGGGUGCUAGUAUUCAAUGGCCAGAGGUGAAAUUCUCGGAUUCAUUGAAGACUAACUUAUGCGAAAGCAUU
Molecule: ribosomal RNA, 324 nt
Filed under: Sandonidae sp.
Lineage: Eukaryota; Cercozoa; Glissomonadida; Sandonidae
Description: SSU rRNA
Rfam family: Eukaryotic small subunit ribosomal RNA
Source: RNAcentral